This 109-nucleotide small nuclear RNA is filed under the name Carlito syrichta (Philippine tarsier). RNAcentral's name for it is "U5 spliceosomal RNA (ENSTSYG00000027769.1)". It matches the Rfam family "U5 spliceosomal RNA". Rfam says of the family: U5 RNA is a component of both types of known spliceosome. The precise function of this molecule is unknown, though it is known that the 5' loop is required for splice site selection and p220 binding, and that both the 3' stem-loop and the Sm site are important for Sm protein binding and cap methylation. The record is from RNAcentral. Lineage: Eukaryota; Metazoa; Chordata; Mammalia; Primates; Tarsiidae.
AAGGUUUCUCUUCAGAUCAUAUACAUCUUUCACCUUUUACUAAAGAUUUCCUUGGAGAGGAACAAUUCUGAGGCUUAACCCAGUUUUUGAGGCCUUUCAUCUGUAGGGC